AAAGCUGUAUUUCUGCAUUGCACAGUGAAUGCUGUAAGUCAGUGUAAGAACCUUUAUUUCAGAUGGAGACUGGCACAUGGUGACAGCCCCUCGUACAGUGCUCCAGUGUAAGAGUGCGGGGAAAAGGGAGGGUCAGCAGGAUCAGGACGGGGAGUUCUACACCAGCCUGCCAAGAGUGAGUUUGCAUUUUUAGUUUACUGCAUCAUUCCUGAGACAUAUUCUCACGGGUGCCAUUCCAUUUUUUUAUAUAUUUAUAUAUAAAACUGCGUAAGAUAUUGUGAAUGAUCUCAGCACUGCCAGUCCCAGUGUUGCCUCUCCUAUUCAUCAUCUCUGUCUUUCAGGCACACUUUCUGCGUCCUGGCUAUUUCUGCACUGCAUCAGAGCCCAGUGCGUUCUCCCCCUACAGCCAUGACCUUCACUGCAAGGGUAAAGGGUUGCAGGACCGGAGCCCCAGAGACAGAGAGAGUUAUGGGUGUAUCCCUCCGUCCUCUAGACCACACCCCCUGGCACAGCCCGGCUUCUACAGUCCCAAAAUCCCCCGAUCUAAACACUGUGAACCUGCUUCAUCCCCAACAAACACAACCCCAAAUAAAAACACGAAGGAGUUCAAUUCCUACACUCUGCCUCUUCCGCACACCAGGACUGCUGUUCUCAGUAAGAGUGAUCUCAGCUGCAAACCACAAGGAUUCAAGACUUCACUGGUGGAAAAGCCUCGGUUGAUGCGAGCGACCGUUUCUCAAAUAUCACCAGAUUUAAACCACCUGCCUCAACAGCAGCAACAGCUUCAGCAUAACAGGGAACAGAACAUCCAGAACCAGUACCUCCCCAGUCAGCACCAGCCCCAGACUGCACUAAACAUUCCCAGUACUGAUGAUUCCAGGAAAGAGGAAUCUCCCUGGAAUUACUAUGUUCAACCCCAAUCCAAUUUCAACCAAUUUCACCCCACGCCAAUCAGAAGAUCCCUCAGGGUGCCAAAGCAUGCUCAGGAAUCCUACGAUGACAUCAACCACAGCUACAGGUUUCCACGAAGAGCCUCUUCAAUAAGCGAGUCUAACAUCCACCUGAGAUUACAGUCGUCGAGUUUCUGUCAGCUAAGUGUGUUCAAUGGCAAAAGCUCCCAUAAUACUGAGGAAAGCGAAGCCUAUCUCCAGUCCAGUCCACCACACGCCAACUUUAAAGGAAGAAAUGGUUCCAGUGAUGUUGGAAGCAACUUGUCCAGCAGUAUGAGGUAUGUGCUAGCAUCUUUUUUUAACUUGCAGAAAGAUAG
RNAcentral lists this long non-coding RNA (1267 nucleotides) under Astyanax mexicanus (Mexican tetra). RNAcentral describes it as "lncRNA (ENSAMXG00005010467.1)". The record is from RNAcentral. Lineage: Eukaryota; Metazoa; Chordata; Actinopteri; Characiformes; Acestrorhamphidae.